UUUGAUGGCGACCUGCGCACGGGUGAGUAACACGUAUCCAACCUGCCGAUAACUCGGGGAUAGCCUUUCGAAAGAAAGAUUAAUACCCGAUGGCAUAAUAGAACCGCAUGGUUUGAUUAUUAAAGAAUUUCGGUUAUCGAUGGGGAUGCGUUCCAUUAGGCAGUUGGUGGGGUAACGGCCCACCAAACCUUCGAUGGAUAGGGGUUCUGAGAGGAAGGUCCCCCACAUUGGAACUGAGACACGGUCCAA
RNAcentral lists this ribosomal RNA (249 nucleotides) under uncultured bacterium. Its description in RNAcentral is "partial 16S ribosomal RNA". It matches the Rfam family "Bacterial small subunit ribosomal RNA", at positions 84 to 334 of the family's 1533-position model. The record is from RNAcentral.